This 1349-nucleotide non-coding RNA is filed under the name Pongo abelii (Sumatran orangutan). The record is from RNAcentral. Lineage: Eukaryota; Metazoa; Chordata; Mammalia; Primates; Hominidae.
CUCUCUUUCUUCGUUGUUGUUAACGGAGAAACUUGCCGCCCAGUGGCUUUGUUUCAAGUGGAAGUCCGCGUGCUUUGAUACCCUCAGGGGGCACUUACAGGCUAGAUGGACACAGGGCUAGGGGAUAAGAAUGCAGCAGUGAACAUGGUUCCUGCAGUCAUGAAGCAAAUGUAUCCACUGUGAUACAAAAGAGACUGUAAAAAACAAACCCAAAUGGACAACAGGAAAAGACAGAAGCUGAUUGAGGUCCCAGCUUGGUAACAGUUUGAAGAGUUGCAGGACUGGCUGGAUGAGUACUGGCUGCAGCAAGUCAUGCUGCCAGGAUUCUUUAUGGCUGUUUCUGCUUCCACUACAGCUGAGUCAGAAAGGUCGCUGCCCAGUGGUGGCAGUAGAUGCAGUGGACCUGGCAAGCAAAUGUUUCCGCUAUUAGCUCUCAGCAACAGAGACUCAUUUAUGGUCACCUUGGAAAUCUGGGCUUAUCGAUCUACAGCCCAAGUCUGCUGAGAAGCUGGAGCUUACUAAAGGGGAAACCUGAGAGCUGUUCAAGCCCCAAACAUUUUCCACUUCUGCGUCACCUCUGCUGUCUGUUAGCAGAGUGGAGGAGAAAAUACACCAGCACAAACAACGUGAAAAAAUACUCUAUUCAUUAAAAGCUGUAACUUCCAGACUGGACUUGAGAAGCAAUUAAGCAACAGAGGCACCUCAUCUACUAUCUGUAUUCAGGCAUGCUCAUGAGAACAUGCUGCUCCAGCUGGACUUAGAGGAGCCCGGUGCAUCAGAGGCAUUCCUGACAGAGUCUCGUGGUCCUGCUGGUCCACUCACUGGUACCCAGUCCUCCUCAUCGUCGGGGAUAGGUUCCAAGACCCCCAGGGGAUGCCUGAAACUGCGGAUGGUGAAAUGCCAUCACAUCCUUCAUACUCAUUUUUUUAGGGCCAUAGGAGACCCAAUAUAUCUGUCUAUAUUGCAAUAAAUUACAAGACUUUGACCAAAGACCCAGUUCCUAACUGACUGCUCUUGAAGCCAGCUCCAUUGCAGAAUUUAGGAACAGAGAUGAGACUUGUCUGACAUGGGGAACUGUCACAGGAUAAUGCCUUGGAAAAGCCUGGUUUUAGAACUUGCCUCUCUCAAUUUGAGGAAGUGUAUAUUUUUAAGUUUCUAAAAACAAGAUAUUAUAAGAUUUGUAACAUUACAAUGACUGCCAAUGCAAAGAACCUCUGGGACUCUAGUGCAUCAGUGGAAUAUCAGCACAUUGAUGGACAUGUGGACUAUUUGGAUUCAGAAGACCUGGUUUGAGCUCAGCUUUGCUGCCAACUGUAUGUGUGACCUUAAGUAAAAUUAUCCCCUCUCUC